This 422-nucleotide ribosomal RNA is filed under the name uncultured bacterium. RNAcentral's name for it is "partial 16S ribosomal RNA". It matches the Rfam family "Bacterial small subunit ribosomal RNA", at positions 360 to 774 of the family's 1533-position model. The record is from RNAcentral.
AAUUUUGGACAGUGGGGGCAACCCUGAUCCAGCCAUCCCGCGUGUGCGAUGAAGGCCUUCGGGUUGUAAAGCACUUUUGGCAUGGAAGAAACAGCCUGGUCGAAUACCCUGGGCGACUGACUGUACCUGCAGAAUAAGCAUCGGCUAACUACGUGCCAGCAGCCGCGGUAAUACGUAGGGUGCAAGCGUUAAUCGGAAUUACUGGGCGUAAAGCGUGCGCAGGCGGUUCGGAAAGAAAGGUGUGAAAUCCCAGGGCUUAACCUUGGAACUGCACUUUUAACUGCCGGGCUAGAGUACGUCAGAGGGGGGUAGAAUUCCACGUGUAGCAGUGAAAUGCGUAGAGAUGUGGAGGAAUACCGAUGGCGAAGGCAGCCCCCUGGGAUGAUACUGACGCUCAUGCACGAAAGCGUGGGGAGCAAACA